UUUAGAAAUAUAGUUACCAAAUAGCAAAUUGCAUUUUAUAAAAGCUCUACUUCAAAAAAGCUCUACUAUCAACAGCUGUACCAAAUGGGGCUUUAAUCUUUUUUCUAUUAACCUUGUUGGUUAGUUACAUUGAUCCACAUAACUUUUCAUUGGCGUAGAAAACAUUUUUGCACUUUGUUCUAGAUACUUCACCGCUCCUUUUUCAUCCUCUCUCUUUAAUUUUCAUGAUUUCAUGCCUGAGUUUGUAUAUAAUUUUAGUAUGUUUCUGAAUGUAAAAUGUGAGGGUGGGCCUUGGUGCAAUGGUAAGUUUGCUCCAUUUUGACCUAUGCAUCAUGAUUCAAAACACCUCUCGAGAUUCCAUACGGUGGAAACUAGGGAUGGCAAUAAACGGCGUAUGGAUCGGGUCGGUCAAUACCUGUACCAGCCCUGCAAUUAAAAACUUUGUACCAUACCCGCCCCAUACCCAUCUUGGGUUGGGUCAGGUUGGGUAAAGUAGAUGGGGCAGCUUAUGGCGGGUCAGGUAGACAAGAUGAGUUGGGUCGACUAUGGUUGGAUAAUUAUAAUUUAGAGCUAUAAUUAAUGAGAUUGCAACUACUAUAUAAAUAAGUGAAGCUUAUAGCUUGUUCUUUUAUGACCCAAUUUUUAAUUCAGAUAGAGAGAAUCCUAGUAUAUAUAUCAAUAACUAUAAUAUAUUCUAAUAAGAAAUAGUUCAUUCAUAAGUCAAAUUAAUUGGGGGCUUAGAAAUAAAACAAACAAAAAUAAUCGAUUGUUGUGAUUUUCAGAGAAUAAAUAUGUUUUCCAAGUUUCAACAAUAAUAAUUUUCUAGGUUGGGGGGGGGGGCAACUGAGGUGAACAGGAUUGUGACAGUUACACCAUCUAUCGAAUGAACAGGGGGCGGGGCAUACCAUUACCCAUAUGAAACCCAAACCCACUUUUGGUAUUAUAUCUAAAAUCCAUAGUUGCUCCUGAGUUUAAAUAGAUUGGGUAAAACCUGGCUCAUUCAAGUCAGGUUGGGUCGGUUACUUGAUGGGUCAGUUAAAAUUGCCACCCCAAGCGGAAACCUCAGGGAUGCCUUUUUUUUUUUUCCUUGAAUGUAGCAUGUAUCAUAAAGUUAAGAUUUAUGACAUCUAGGAAUGAUUAUACUCUAUUAAGUGGUGAAUGAUUGUUGUACUUUUUAUUAUGUUGUAGGAUGUAGUCAUAACUUCUGGAUUUGAAAUGGACCAACAAUUAAGAUAUGCUGGUUGACUCAGUGAUUUAUUUUUGGAACUGAGAUUGACUUGUUAGAAAGCCAAAUAUUGUGUAUUCUAGGUAAAUAGUCUGUUUUGGUUUCGUAGAACUCACUUCUCAUAGGUUAAACACGAUUCCUUUUUUGAGUUCCAAAAGGGCUCCAUUUAUUUUUAUCCAGUAAUUAACUUGUGUCUAGCCAUUAGCUGAUGUAGCUUUGUGUUCUUUAUUCUCGGAAUCCAUUCUUUUCUUGUUUCUUUUUUCUUUUUUCUUUUUAACAAUGUUGUCUCCUUGCACCUUCGUAUUUGUACCUUCGUAUUUGUGCUCCCUACUAGAUCUAAACAUUUCCGUUGAACAUGCGCAGAUGAUUCCAUGACCUGUACAUGGUUGGACAGCCAUACUCUUUCUAGUUCCCUUUAGAUGAGAUGAAGUUGCUUGGUUCCUCCUAGUUAGAGACCAAGUUUCUUUGUUUUAUUUACAUGAAUAAUACACACUUGCAUUGCAGUCUGAAUCUAAGUUGCACAUGAUAAUGUACUUGCUUGAUUUUCUGUUGUCGGUCAGCCUUUGUAGUUUAGGUGAUUAUGGAUGGUCACUCUCUUUGCCAACUAUUCCUUUUUUAACCACAACUUUUAUGUUGAUUAUACAGUAUACACUCUUUGUUCAUAGGCAGUCUACUUCAUCAGUAUUUGUUGCUUGGAGCUUCAAAACUGCAUCAUCCUAGAACUUUACCAAGCUUAUAACAAGUUUAUUCUUCUCUUUGUGGUCUUAAUUGUCUAGAUAUCUUCUGAGCUAUUUUCGGACCCUAUGCGGCAGCAAAAGUUUGAUAUUGACUCGAUCUUUUGGGUGAAGAUUACAGCAUCUUUACCGAUUCCUGUGAUAGCCUUCAAAUGAACAACCAUAACUCCUGGUUAUCUUAUCUUAUAGCUGCUAGAUUUGUGAUUUUGUGGGGGGAAAGCGUCCUUGAUGUAUCCUAUCCAUUGAUGUCCCUUUAGCAAGCAUAUCUAAUAGGUGGAACAGAAUGCUAAGGUUGAAAAACAGUCCGAUCCUAGUUUUUCUUGAAGUAUGGUAAGUAUAUUUUGCUUUAUUUGUGGUAGACUCCAGAAUUUGUCUUGGUAUACAUUUAUUGCUUAGGGCUGUGAUUUCUUGAAUCAGAUUAGUUUUUUAGGUCUGUUCUUGUUGUUUGACAAGGUUUAUAAUAUGGCUAUGUUACUUUCAUUCGCCAACUGCUAGCUCAGUUGGCAUCCCUAUCUUCGGGGCUUGCCUUUUGAGGAGAUCCAGCAAUACUGCUAGUGCUUAAUUAUGUUAAUUUUGUAAUUGUGACAUGACUGGCAAGGGCUUGGCAAAGUAUAUCUGAGGGUAUUGUUUACAUAACAUCUUUGCUAACGAUAGAAGUAUCUUAGAUAAUUCUGCGGCACUAUCAGGGGAAAGUUCAAUAAUAAUUAAAACAAGAAAACUUCAUCCUUGGCAAUAUAAGUAGACCGGACAUCAAGGUACAUGACACAAGCCAAGUGUCUGGGAUUUAACUUAACAAGUUGAGAACAGAGACCGCUAAUUGAUAUUACUUUAAUUUAACAUAGCAGGCUGAGCACUAAUGUGCAAAUGAACAUGGGAUUGUAGGCAAAUGGUGGCGAGGCAUUAUCUCCCAAUUUCAGCUUCUGUUGCAGAUGAACAAAGGCAUUGGGCGCUGGCUCAUUGUCAACUUGUAUGUUUAUUUUAUUUGGGGUUUUCUCAUGCAAGGGCUCUGUUAUAAAGAAAAAAUAGGCAAUAUUGAGAUGUCAAAAAAAUGAGGAGAAUUAAGAGUGGGUGAUGAAUCCAUAUAUACGAAGCAUCUCUAAAUCUUGAAUUUCUCUAGACUUUGUUUUUGGACAAACACAAUCUUGUUGAUUCAGAACCCUGGGUACUUUACCAGUCACUUCUUUUACUAUUUUUAAUCAUUAUUCCUUUUCUUUUUUGCUUUUUAUCCUCGCGAACUUUAGGAUUUUCUACAAUGGCUCAAAGUUUCCAACAAGAAGUUUGAGGUGGAAAAAUUUAAAGGAUGAGCAAGAAAAAUUCUGUCUAUGCCAGUUAAUUCUGAUUGACUUCUAGAUGGUUUAGAGAACAUUGAUCAUAAAGUCGAGGUGGUAAUUAUGAGCUCCAAGGAAUUAUAAGACCUAAAUUUAUAAAUGGCAAGCAUAUUUCUGUUGUGUGCAUCCCCAUUAGGAUAAAGACCCAAAUAGAUUAUGGAUAUUUUGUGGAAACUAAUUUCAGUCCAGAAAUUUGCUCAGACAGAUAAAAGACCACCUUAAGAGUUGAAGCUUCUGCAGAAGAUAACAGUGUAGUUUGCAACUCUCUGUGGUGUAAUACUUUUUUAAUCUGCCUGCAGGCACUCGAAUAAUUAUUUUGAAGAUGCCAUUCAACAAGAUGAUGGGCGAACUUUUUAAUGAAAGAUGCACCAUCCCUCUUAGGAAUCAACAUGAUGCAAGUACAAUCAGUAGAAUCUAAAUUGGUGCUGCCAUUGAAUAAGUCUUGAAGAGUAUGUCUUCUCUUAAAGUGUCGAGCAAUUGAGGACAUGAGCCUUUUAACCUCCAAGGCCGAAAUCAAAUUUGCUUAAUAACCUCAAUCCUGAAAGCUCCAGAGAUGGAGUCGCUUUAAAAUCUAUUCAAAAAAAUUGAAAUGCUUUGAGAGCCGUAUGGAGCGCAAUCCAACAGUUGAUAUUGCUCCAAAGAAAAAAAAUCGUGAGCUGAUCCUGAUCAAUCGGAUUUACCUGUGGCUUCUGAGCUGGCAAUGCAAACUUACUAGGGGUUAUAAUUUUGAGUCGUAUCAAAAAAAAAAAAAAACAUGAGGGGUCCUUAUCGAUCUGAUUUACCCAUGGGUUCUGAGUUGGCAGUGCAAACUCACCAUGGGUCACAGUGUUGAGUCACAAGGGAAUUUGGCAGUGAGUCCCCUAUUAACCCGCUGCUGAAGAUGUAAGCAAACUUAUUAACGGCUCCAUCCGGCAAGCGGAUAAAUAUAAAAAAACGCUCAUGGCCUAAGCCCCUUCACGCAAACCAGGCUUCUUCAACAUCGGUAAAGAAGCCUCGGCCUCCCCACUUUGUCCCCGUGCUUUCUCCUCAAGAGAGGAGGCGAGCAAUCUACCACUCCUCCUCCUCCUCUCUCUCUCUCUCUCUCUCUCUCUCUCUCUCUCCCUUCACCUUCUUCUUCUUCUUCUUCUUCUUCUGCUUCUCUGGCUUCUCCUCCUCCUCAUCCUCCCCCUCCCUUUUUCUUUUCGUAUGUUGAGGCGAUGAUUAUAGGUGGCUUGCGAAGGGAUUGUUCUUCUUCUCCUCUUCUUUGCAUGCCUCCUCCUCCUUGUUCUUUUUCUUCUUCUUCUUCUUCUUCUUAUUAUUAUUAUUAUUAUUCUCUGGCGAUGGGGCGAGGCAGCUCUGGAAGGUCAUGUGUUCCGCAGACAACCGAGCUGUAGCCAUUGUUAGGUGAGGAAGAGAAAAGACGGUGAGAUCAUCUCCCUAAGUCGGUUUUUUAGUUUUCUUUCUCAAGAUUGGCUGGUCUUCUUUCUCUUCUUCUCUUUCUGCUUGUUUUUGGUCUUCCAGGUGGAUAAUGGCCGCGAUGUUGUGAUUCUCGUUAUCUUUUUCUCUUUCUUCUUUCUUGCUUUUCUUCUUAUUCUUCUUUGUUUCCCAAAUUUGGGAGAGCGGCAUUGCUUUUGGGUUCUAUACGACGAGGUUGUGAUGAUUCUUUGACGAGGUUUUGCUAUGUUUGAGCGGAAAACGGCUAUUUUCUUGAUGGCGAGGCAAUCUUGGAUGGUCUGCUUCUGUUCGUCUGCAGGCAACCGUUUGCAGCCAUUUUGAUUUAUUAGUUGCGGUGCAAGUGGUGAAUCUGAGCCUCCCUAUUCAUUUUCCCCUUCGCAGCUUUCUAAUUUCUGUUUUUUUUUUUUUUUUCAAGAUUCUGUUUUUUUAGGGUUUCUUGAAUGUCUUUACUGUGAUGAGUAUUGCCGUCGAAGAGUUUAUAGCAAAUUAGGGUUUUAAGAACCCAAAUCCAGUUAAAAACUAGCGGUAACAAGGGAACUACUUGAGUUGCUUCCUUCUCUUUGUUCCUUUCUCCUUCUUCAUUAUUUAUUUUCCUUCCUUUUAACUAACAUUGUGACAAAUGAGAACCUGGAAUCUCUCUAUCCUCCAGACCUUGUAGGAAAAUUCUGUAUUGCUAAAUAAAGCUACUGUUACCAACUAGAGAUGGUUUCGCUACGCCACUGCAGGAGGGGCAUAGAAAUUUCUCUAGAGCUGGGAUUUACCUGGCUUCGUAUUCUAGUGGCGACAUCAUUAUUGUAUGGCAGGCUUAAGCUGAUUUGGUUUAGGUGCUGACUGAAUAAAAAAGGUUCGAGCAAGAAAUGUGGUAAGUGGGAAGGGACUUCACCAAAGUUUGACUGUACUGUCUAUAGUGGGAUGGGAUAUUUAGGGAGUAGUAGGGAUGAAAUUGGUGAAUGAUGAUAUGUUUCGAGCACCAUCAAACAUCAAGAAAUCGGCACUUUAAAGAAUAUCGCAGUCGAGCAGUUUAACAUAAAGUGGACUCGAAGUGCUUGUUGAGAGAUAUCUCAGAUUCCUUUGGGAAGGGACAUGCUUUUCAGGGUUUUGGUCUGGAUGCUCCAACUUAUGCAACCCAACUUUUGGAUUAAUGCAAGCACGAGCUCACCACUUUUGGACUCUUGCAUGAUGUUCUCUUGCCUUGGAUGGAAACUUUUUCCCUAUAUACACAAAGGGGAAUUUAGUUUUGUUGCAGGUGAUUGCUCAAUUUAGGGGAUAAGCUAGUACUUGCAGAGGAAGAUCAUCUGUUCUUGAAGUUCCUUUUGGAAUGCACUGUGUCCUGUUUUAAGCAACAAGUUCUUCCAAGUUGCAUAUGAUGCAGUUCUCAAGCUUUUCUCAUAACAAGAGUUGUGUGAAGCAACAAGUUUUUUUUCUGAGUUACAUAGGUUGAAGUUCUUUAGCAAUUCUUAUAGGAUUAGAAACAAAUUAGUAUACUUUGCAUAUCUAGAGUUCCUUGAACUGAUUAGAGUCAUGGAUACGUGAAAUGGAAAUUUGACUGAUACGGACUGCUGUAUAGCUCAGUGGAUAUUUGGUUUAUAUUGACUGCUCUGUAGCUCAAGCUUGAGAUUGCUGUUUCCACAUCUGCUAUUUCUGGUUUUCUACAACAGGUGCCGGAAACAGACUGACCUUAUGUGCUUCAGUUCAGUAGACAAUUGGUCACUUUCUGGUGGCCAAUUAGCACCUGAGAUCAUUGAUAGUGUAUUUGCUAAUUAUUUUAAAUUUUUUGCACUGAUAAUGAGUUUUUUGAUUAUAUGAAACAUUUCUCCUAA
Molecule: non-coding RNA, 6541 nt
Organism: Phoenix dactylifera (date palm)
Lineage: Eukaryota; Viridiplantae; Streptophyta; Magnoliopsida; Arecales; Arecaceae
Source: RefSeq, a predicted model, not a curated record